Molecule: ribosomal RNA, 465 nt
Filed under: Vreelandella stevensii
Lineage: Bacteria; Pseudomonadati; Pseudomonadota; Gammaproteobacteria; Oceanospirillales; Halomonadaceae
Description: partial 16S ribosomal RNA
Rfam family: Bacterial small subunit ribosomal RNA
Source: RNAcentral
CCUACGGGUGGCAGCAGUGGGGAAUAUUGGACAAUGGGCGAAAGCCUGAUCCAGCCAUGCCGCGUGUGUGAAGAAGGCCUUCGGGUUGUAAAGCACUUUCAGUGGGGAAGAAAGCCUUGGGGCUAAUACCCUCGAGGAAGGACAUCACCCACAGAAGAAGCACCGGCUAACUCCGUGCCAGCAGCCGCGGUAAUACGGAGGGUGCGAGCGUUAAUCGGAAUUACUGGGCGUAAAGCGCGCGUAGGCGGUCUGAUAAGCCGGUUGUGAAAGCCCCGGGCUCAACCUGGGAACGGCAUCCGGAACUGUCCGGCUAGAGGGCAGGAGAGGAAGGUAGAAUUCCCGGUGUAGCGGUGAAAUGCGGAGAGAUCGGGAGGAAUACCAGUGGGGAAGGCGGCCUUCUGGACUGACACUGACGCUGAGGUGCGAAAGCGUGGGUAGCAAACAGGAUUAGAUACCCUUGUAGUC